GCGAAAGCGUGGGGAGCGAACGGGAUUAGAUACCCCGGUAGUCCACGCCCUAAACGAUGCAGACUAGAUUGCAGCGGGUUACACCCCGUUGCGGUCGGAGCGAAAUUGUUAAGUCUGCCACCUGGGAAGUACGGUCGCAAGGCUAAAACUCAAAGGAAUUGACGGGGGCUCACACAAGCGGUGGAGCAUGUGGCUCAAUUCGAAGCAACGCGAAGAACCUUAUCCUGGACUUGACAUGGUAGAAGUAAGAAGCGGAAACGCUUAUGACCGGUAUCCAAUCCGGAACUAUCACAGGUGCUGCAUGGCUGUCGUCAGCUCGUGCUGUGAAGUGUCGGGUUAAGUCCCAUAACGAGCGAAACCCCUAUCGUUAGUUGCCAGCGAGUAAAGUCGGGCACUCUAACGAGACUGCCGGUGUUAAACCGGAGGAAGGCGGGGAUGACGUCAAGUCCUCAUGGCCUUUAUGUCCAGGGCUGCACACGUGCUACAAUGCCGAUGACAAACCGAAGCAAGACCGUAAGGUGGAGCAAAUCGGAGAAAAAUCGGCCCAGUUCAGAUUGAGGGCUGCAACUCGCCCUCAUGAAGUUGGAAUCGCUAGUAAUCGCGGAUCAGCUACGCCGCGGUGAAUGUGUUCCUGAGCCUUGUACACACCGCCCGUCAAGUCAUGGGAGCCGAAAAUAGCCGAAGCCGUCACAAUACAGUGGUGUCGACGCUAGGUUCGGUGACUGGGACUAAGUCGUAACAAGGUAGCCGUAGGGGAACCUGCGGCUG
This 768-nucleotide ribosomal RNA is filed under the name uncultured Pseudomonadota bacterium. RNAcentral describes it as "bacterial SSU rRNA". It matches the Rfam family "Bacterial small subunit ribosomal RNA", at positions 753 to 1520 of the family's 1533-position model. The record is from RNAcentral. Lineage: Bacteria; Pseudomonadati; Pseudomonadota.